AGCUCCAAUAGCGUAUAUUAAAGUUGUUGCGGUUAAAAGCUCGUAGUUGGAUUUCUGCCGAGGGCGACCGGUCCGCCCUCUGGGUGAGUAUCUGGCUCGGCCUGGGCAUCUUCUUGGAGAGUGUAUCUGCACUUGACUGUGUGGUGCAGUAUCCAGGACUUUUACUUUGAGGAAAUUAGAGUGUUUCAAGCAGGCACACGCCUUGAAUACAUUAGCAUGGAAUAAUAAGAUAGGACCUUGGUUCUAUUUUGUUGGUUUCUAGGGCUGAGGUAAUGAUUAAUAGGGAUAGUUGGGGGCAUUCGUAUUUAACUGUCAGAGGUGAAAUUCUUGGAUUUGUUAAAGACGGACGACUGCGAAAGCAUUUGCCAAGGAUGUUUUCAUUGAUCAAGAACGAGUUGACACGCUGAGACUCCAAGGCACACA
Molecule: ribosomal RNA, 423 nt
Filed under: uncultured eukaryote
Lineage: Eukaryota
Description: SSU rRNA
Rfam family: Eukaryotic small subunit ribosomal RNA
Source: RNAcentral